UUUUUAAAUUUUAACUUGAAACAUAUUUGAUUCCAUCGCAAUAGCCUAUAUGAAAGUGUAUGGAGCCACUCACGACUUCAAUAGGAGUUUGGUGUCACUACUGUCAAUUAAAACAAAUCCGUCAGGUGUCGCUCACAGCAUAGGUCUGAGAGUAUAGCGUUGGUCCCUCGGUCACAACAUAACGCUAGACCUAGAACGUGACAGAUUGUAGGAGAAGUUUGAAUGAAUAAGGUAUUCGUACAUACUUGCAUAACAUGGAAUCCUUGUGUAUCGGUUCGAGGAUAUCAGUAACUGGAGAUAGUGCUACUGUCAAAUAUAUUGGAACUGUCCCACCUACAAAAGGUGAAUGGCUGGGAGUUGAAUGGGAUGAUCCCACGAGGGGACGACAUGAUGGAACGAAAGAUGGAGUGGCCUACUUUAAAUGCAGGCAUAAAACCAGUGGCUCAUUUAUACGAGCAACCAAAGCAAACUUUGGUGUUUCAAUUUGUGAUGCAAUAACUGAUCGUUAUACACUGCCAACUGAGUCUGGAGAUUCUCACAUGAAUGACAUGUAUCUAGGAAAUAUAAAAAUAAUGAAAAAGAUUGAAACAGUUGGAAUGGACCAAGUUCAAAAGCAAUUUGGGAAAUUGAACCAACUCAAACAAAUCAUUCUUCGUGAUCAAAUCAUUUCCAGUGCGGGCACUGUUGGGCAACUGGCCACUUUAACACCAAGCCUAGUUGAGCUAAAUCUGUCAAAGAAUCUGAUCUCCUCAUGGGACACUGUAUGCGACAUUGUGAAGCAGUUACCCUGUUUAAAAGUCUUAAAUCUAAGCGAAAACAUCAUGCAAGUAACGGACAAAGCUUUAUCACAGCCAGAGGUUUUUGCAAACAUUGACACAAUGGUCUUAAAUAAGUGCUCUUUGUCCUGGGAAGAGCUGCUGACCUGCACCACCAUGUGGCCACAAGUUACUGAGCUUCAUAUAGAAGCGAACAACAUGACGCAUCUAUCCCCACCUGGUGAUAAACUCAACCAUGUAAAGUUGUUACAUUUAUCUGGCAAUCCACUCAACUCGUGGCAUGAAGUGCAGCAAUUGUCACAACUUCCAAUGUUAUCCUGUCUUCUUAUAAAGGAAUGCGAAUUAUCUGAUUUGUUCAUUAAGCCUGGUGAUUUCAAACAACUCAAGGAACUUUUCCUGGAUAGAAAUAAAUAUGAAUCGGUACAUGAUCUUAAUCCAUUGAACAAUCUCCCAGAAUUUAUUGAGUUACAUUUCCGCAAAAAUCCAGCCCUUAACCAAGACCGAUAUGAUGCCAUACAUGAUAUUAUUGUCGCUAAAAUAAAGAGAUUACAAAGACUUGACAGAUUAAGUGUGACACAGCAGAGCCGCUUCACAGCAGAGAUGGAUUACCUUCGAAAAUAUGGGGUUGAGUGGAGGGAGUCUGGAGGACAUCAGGAUCCUGAAAGAAACCAACCAUCUCAAGAGUUUAUUGAGAAUCAUCCUCGUUAUAUGGAACUUAUAGCAGAAAUAAGAAAAGCAUUAUGUUUUGCUGUUGUUCUUAAAACAUGCUUAGCUGUAUCAAACUUACAGAACAUGGUGCUCCUGAUGACAAACAAUUUAUGAAAAUGUCAUCCGCGCUGAAAGGCAACUUAUUAGAACUUAUCAUUGAAGCGCCAGUAAAACCAGAUUUCAAACCUGUGACCAAAAAGCUGCCAAAAUCAAUGUCAAUCGGCAGCUUGAAACUGCUCAUUCAAAAGUUAACAAAAAUCGAAAUAAGGAACCAGAGAUUGGUGUACAUCAGCAAAGAGAACCCUGACCAUGUUGUGGAAUUGGAUCGUGACCAUGAAACACUACAUGAUGUUUCUAUUGAUCCUGGGGACACAAUACAGGUUUUAAGUGGUUAUCACUGGGCUAAAAAGACAAGCAGAAGAAAACCAAGGCAUUGAACCCAUAUGUUGAGCCAGACCAAAUAAAACUAGUUCUUUUAUCAGCAAAACUGCAAUUGUAUUUUAAUUAAAAAGUCUCUAGUUCAUUUUCGCUAACGGAUUUACAAACCUGAAGUGUUAUUUUGUAUUUGGCCAAACCUACAAUAUUUUUGCUGGUAUAUUAGUUGCACUACAUGUAUACUGUGAUACUGCAAAGCGCUUGAUUACUUUUGUUUUGAUUAAUUUGUUAGCAUGCUUUAAAUUGGCAACGUAUUGCGGAUUUGACAAGCUGUUUACAUUUCUACGAAAUAUAAAUCACUUCGAUGACAUAUAA
Non-coding RNA from Ciona intestinalis (vase tunicate), 2234 nucleotides. Lineage: Eukaryota; Metazoa; Chordata; Ascidiacea; Phlebobranchia; Cionidae. The record is from RefSeq and is a predicted model, not a curated record.